This 75-nucleotide transfer RNA is filed under the name Acidobacteriota bacterium. RNAcentral's name for it is "Acidobacteria bacterium tRNA-Met". It matches the Rfam family "tRNA". Rfam says of the family: Transfer RNA (tRNA) molecules are approximately 80 nucleotides in length. The record is from RNAcentral. Lineage: Bacteria; Pseudomonadati; Acidobacteriota.
GGGCCUCUAGCUCAAUUCGGUUAGAGCAUCGGACUCAUAAUCCGCAGGUUGAAGGUUCAAAUCCUUCGAGGCCCA